This 484-nucleotide ribosomal RNA is filed under the name uncultured bacterium. RNAcentral describes it as "partial 16S ribosomal RNA". It matches the Rfam family "Bacterial small subunit ribosomal RNA", at positions 30 to 507 of the family's 1533-position model. The record is from RNAcentral.
AUUGAACGCUGGCGGCAGGCCUAACACAUGCAGGUCGAGCGGAUGAAGGGAGCUUGCUCCUGGAUUCAGCGGCGGACGGGUGAGUAAUGCCUAGGAUUCUGCCUGGUAGUGGGGGAUAACGUCCGGAAACGGGCGCUAAUACCGCAUACGUCCUGAGGGAGAAAGUGGGGGAUCUUCGGACCUCACGCUAUCAGAUGAGCCUAGGUCGGAUUAGCUAGUUGGUGGGGUAAAGGCCUACCAAGGCGACGAUCCGUAACUGGUCUGAGAGGAUGAUCAGUCACACUGGAACUGAGACACGGUCCAGACUCCUACGGGAGGCAGCAGUGGGGAAUAUUGGACAAUGGGCGAAAGCCUGAUCCAGCCAUGCCGCGUGUGUGAAGAAGGUCUUCGGAUUGUAAAGCACUUUAAGUUGGGAGGAAGGGCAGUAAGUUAAUACCUUGCUGUUUUGACGUUACCAACAGAAUAAGCACCGGCUAACUUCGUG